GUUCUGCCCCCUCCCCCAAGCACGCUUUGCCCUCCUGCCCAGCGCCUCCUGACGCCACGAAACAUCUGAUCCACAAGGUGCUGAGAGGGAGGGGAGGCAUUGAUCGGUGGGGCUCGCCGAUGGGCAGGAGGCACUGGGUGGAGGUUCUGGUAGGGGGGCUCCUCGCCCCAGCUUGCCACUUGCCUCCCCAUUUGCCUCACCUUGCUCGCCUGCCCGCCUCCUGCCUCACCUCCCAGCCUGCCUUCUCACAAUUUUAUUGAAGCGUGGGGUCCCCCAAAGCGCAGGGCCCAGGGCAGUUGCCCUGAUUCACUGUACCCAAGGGACGGCUCUGGCCCUUUCUGAUUUUUCUGAUUGGCUAUUUGUUUUCCUUUUAACUGGAUUUAGCUGGCUUCGGGUAGCAACUUAGGGGAAAGGGCCUGUUCACAGUUUCUCCAAAGUGAAUGGAGGGGAAAAGGAUGCCUGAGGACUGAUGAGGGGGGCGUUAAAUGAGUGAGUUUUGGUUAGCCACUGCUGUGCUGUGCUUUAAAAUGGUGUUCAGAGACACACACUUUGAACAUUUUGGUAUUCUUUAAAGACAGAUAAAAUGAAGUUCAGAUUCCAAAGCUUUAGAGUUCACAUUGUCAAGAUAUACUGAGUGAUAUAAAGCAAUUAUUAGAAUUACAUAUUUAUUUUAUAAAUUGAGUAAGUAAAUUGGGGAUGAAGGUUGUAAAAUGUUUGAAAGACCUGUAAUUUAAAACUUUAAACAAAAUCAGAAAAUCCUGGAAAUACUCAUUGAAGGUUCCAAGAUCACCUUUAACUCUGCCGCUUGUCUCCAGCCCCAAGCCCCGCUAACUUCCAAGUAUAUUCCCCAGUAACUUAGAAAACCGAAACAGUUCACCUGGACACUCAUCCCCACUCUCACUGACCAGAAGCCGAAGGCUAGUUCCCUUUCCUAUUCUAUUCUGUAGAGAUUCUUAUAUUGCACUCAUCACCAUAGUAUCUGAAGCUCCUCAAACGUACUUAGGUACAUAAAUACCUUUGAGGAUCUGGGCCUGAGUGUCUUCCAUUAGUAUAUUCAACAAUGUGACUAUGUGUCUGUCACAUGACGUUUGUUCUGUCAUCCUGUCCCCAGGCAGAGAAGUGUGUGCAGUGGGGUGUUUUAUUUUGGAAUGUAUUUAUUGACAAACCUGUUGCUAUAUGUUCCCUGCCCUCACGGUACAGGCCAGAAAGCUCUUCACAUAUGAUCUGCACAAGCUCCUGCCCACAUCCACCACCUGUCUAUACCCCAGAGCCCGUUCAUUCUCUCCAUACUGAUCAGAGAGCCCACACUCCAAAUACAAGAACCCAGCCUAAACUGCUACAGACUACAAGUCUCAAAUGCCCUACAGGCACUGGCAAGAUGCCCCUUAACUCUCAUGUCUGAUACAGGCCCGAAGGGUGAGUGUAGGGUAGAUUAUUUACAUGAAAACACCAGACUGAGGCAGUUCCUGACACAAAAGGAACCACUUACGUUUUUUACUUUACAAUUUAGGUCCCAGUUCUACAAUGAGCUGCUUGUGUUCAGAGCUCUGUGCGCAAAUGAAGCCCCAUUGAUGUUGGGCUUUGCAGAGGGGUCAUUGCAGGAAUGGGAGUCUCAGCCAGGGGCAAAGAAAUGAGAGUAAAGGGCAGAGUGAAGAGUGAUUUUUGAAAUCUUAACCAUUUCCAGACUCUCUUGUGCAUAGGGGUUUUUUUAACCACAUCCUAAUACUUGGUAGCUUUCUGUUGUUUCCUUAAGACAGACUGCUUUACUUUCAGUUUUUUUUAUCACUAACAUUUUUAAAAAAUGUAUUGAUUUAAAUUGAUCAAGGACAAGUUUCAGUGGAGGCAGUCUGUGGAAGACAUUUGCCUUCUUCCAGCAGCUUCUCUAUGCCUCUGUACUCCAUGAAAGCCAAUUAGCUGAUUGGAGGAGAAUUUCCCCUGGUGCAAGCAAUAUGCAGGAUUUCACAAGCCCGAGCAUAGGGGGUGUUUUAUGGGUGGGUAGGAGGUGAGGCCCCUUAGCAUACACAGCUGUUGGGAUUCUCAGCUGCUUCAGGCUGUAGUGCGACCUAUAGGCAGCACAGGAAGGAAGGAGAGAAAAAUUAGAGCAGUUUCUUGUUCUCUAUGCUGGUGGCUGCAUUGAAUUUUGAACAAUCUAUUAAAUAAAGAAAAGGAGUACUUGUGGCACCUUAGAGACUAACAAAUUUA
Dermochelys coriacea (leatherback sea turtle) is the source of this 2202-nucleotide long non-coding RNA. RefSeq lists it as uncharacterized. Lineage: Eukaryota; Metazoa; Chordata; Testudines; Dermochelyidae. The transcript is spliced from 3 exons. The record is from RefSeq and is a predicted model, not a curated record.